RNAcentral lists this ribosomal RNA (497 nucleotides) under uncultured bacterium. Its description in RNAcentral is "partial 16S ribosomal RNA". It matches the Rfam family "Bacterial small subunit ribosomal RNA", at positions 28 to 507 of the family's 1533-position model. The record is from RNAcentral.
GAUGAACGCUGGCGGCGUGCCUAAUACAUGCAAGUCGAGCGAACAGACGAGGAGCUUGCUCCUCUGACGUUAGCGGCGGACGGGUGAGUAACACGUGGAUAACCUACCUAUAAGACUGGGAUAACUUCGGGAAACCGGAGCUAAUACCGGAUAAUAUAUUGAGCCGCAUGGUUCAAUAGUGAAAGACGGUUUUGCUGUCACUUAUAGGUGGAUCCGCGCCGCAUUAGCUAGUUGGUAAGGUAACGGCUUACCAAGGCAACGAUGCGUAGCCGACCUGAGAGGGUGAUCGGCCACACUGGAACUGAGACACGGUCCAGACUCCUACGGGAGGCAGCAGUAGGGAAUCUUCCGCAAUGGGCGAAAGCCUGACGGAGCAACGCCGCGUGAGUGAUGAAGGUCUUCGGAUCGUAAAACUCUGUUAUUAGGGAAGAACAAAUGUGUAAGUAACUAUGCACGUCUUGACGGUACCUAAUCAGAAAGCCACGGCUAACUACGUG